RNAcentral lists this ribosomal RNA (219 nucleotides) under uncultured bacterium. RNAcentral's name for it is "partial 16S ribosomal RNA". It matches the Rfam family "Bacterial small subunit ribosomal RNA", at positions 116 to 334 of the family's 1533-position model. The record is from RNAcentral.
CGUGAGGAACCUGCCUUGGAGAGGGGAAUAACACUCCGAAAGGAGUGCUAAUACCGCAUGAUGCAGUUGGGUCGCAUGGCUCUGACUGCCAAAGAUUUAUCGCUCUGAGAUGGCCUCGCGUCUGAUUAGCUAGUAGGCGGGGUAACGGCCCACCUAGGCGACGAUCAGUAGCCGGGCUGAGAGGUUGACCGGCCACAUUGGGACUGAGACACGGCCCAG